Molecule: transfer RNA, 65 nt
Filed under: Littoraria ardouiniana
Lineage: Eukaryota; Metazoa; Mollusca; Gastropoda; Littorinimorpha; Littorinidae
Description: tRNA-Cys
Source: RNAcentral
CCCGCUAUAGUUUAUAAAAAACAUUGAAUUGCAAAUUCAGGAAAGAAAAUUGAUUUCUAGCGAGU